ACCAACAGGGAUUGCCCUAGUAACGGCGAGUGAAGCGGCAACAGCUCAAAUUUGAAAUCUGGCCUCGGCCCGAGUUGUAAUUUGCAGAGGAUGCUUCUGGCGCGGUGCCUUCCGAGUUCCCUGGAACGGGACGCCACAGAGGGUGAGAGCCCCGUAUGGUCGGACACCAAGCCUGUGUGAAGCUCCUUCGACGAGUCGAGUAGUUUGGGAAUGCUGCUCUAAAUGGGAGGUAAAUCUCUUCUAAAGCUAAAUACCGGCCAGAGACCGAUAGCGCACAAGUAGAGUGAUCGAAAGAUGAAAAGCACCUUGAAAAGGGGGUUAAAUAGUACGUGAAAUUGUUGAAAGGGAAGCACUCAUGACCAGACUUGGGCCGGGCGGCUCAUCAGGGGUUCUCCCCUGUGCACUCCGCCCGGCACAGGCCAGCAUCGGUUUUCGCGGGGGGAUAAGACCGUCGGGAACGUAGCACCCUCCGGGGUGUGUUAUAGCCCGGCGGACGAUACCCCCGCGGGGACCGAGGUUCGCGCUCCGCAAGGAUGCUGG
This 540-nucleotide ribosomal RNA is filed under the name Diaporthaceae sp. Its description in RNAcentral is "partial large subunit ribosomal RNA". It matches the Rfam family "Eukaryotic large subunit ribosomal RNA", at positions 64 to 629 of the family's 3401-position model. Lineage: Eukaryota; Fungi; Ascomycota; Sordariomycetes; Diaporthales; Diaporthaceae. The record is from RNAcentral.